RNAcentral lists this ribosomal RNA (468 nucleotides) under uncultured bacterium. RNAcentral describes it as "partial 16S ribosomal RNA". It matches the Rfam family "Bacterial small subunit ribosomal RNA", at positions 28 to 507 of the family's 1533-position model. The record is from RNAcentral.
GACGAACGCUGGCGGCGUGCUUAACACAUGCAAGUCGAACGGAAAGGCCCUGCUUUUGUGGGGUGCUCGAGUGGCGAACGGGUGAGUAACACGUGAGUAGCCUGCCCUUGACUUUGGGAUAACUUCAGGAAACUGGGGCUAAUACCGGAUAGGAGCCCCUGCUGCAUGGUGGGGGUUGGAAAGUUUCGGCGGUUGGGGAUGGACUCGCGGCUUAUCAGCUUGUUGGUGGGGUAGUGGCUUACCAAGGCUUUGACGGGUAGCCGGCCUGAGAGGGUGACCGGCCACAUUGGGACUGAGAUACGGCCCAGACUCCUACGGGAGGCAGCAGUGGGGAAUAUUGCACAAUGGGCGGAAGCCUGAUGCAGCAACGCCGCGUGCGGGAUGACGGCCUUCGGGUUGUAAACCGCUUUCGCCUGUGACGAAGCGUGAGUGACGGUAAUGGGUAAAGAAGCACCGGCUAACUACGUG